UACGUAAGGUCCGAGCGUUGUCCGGAAUCAUUGGGCGUAAAGGGUACGUAGGUGGUUAGAAAAGUUAGAAGUGAAAGGCUAUAGCUCAACUAUAGUAAGCUUUUAAAACUGUUUAACUUGAGAGAUGGAAGGGAAAGUGGAAUUCCAUGUGUAGCGGUGAAAUGCGCAGAGAUAUGGAGGAACACCAGUGGCGAAGGCGACUUUCUGGCCAUAAACUGACGCUGAGGUACGAAAGCGUGGGUAGCAAACAGG
Molecule: ribosomal RNA, 252 nt
Filed under: uncultured bacterium
Lineage: Bacteria
Description: partial 16S ribosomal RNA
Rfam family: Bacterial small subunit ribosomal RNA
Source: RNAcentral